UACGUAGGGGGCGAGCGUUGUCCGGAUUUAUUGGGCGUAAAGGGCGUGCAGGCGGUCUGGUAAGUCGGGGGUGAAAACCCGGGGCUCAACCCCGUGGAUGGCCUCCGAUACUGCUGGACUUGAGUGCUCUAGAGGGUAGUGGAAUGGCCGGUGUAGCAGUGAAAUGCGUAGAGAUCGGUCGGAACACCAGUGGCGAAGGCGACUGCCUGGGGAGUAACUGACGCUGAGGCGCGAAAGCUGGGGGA
Molecule: ribosomal RNA, 245 nt
Filed under: uncultured Clostridia bacterium
Lineage: Bacteria; Bacillati; Bacillota; Clostridia
Description: partial 16S ribosomal RNA
Rfam family: Bacterial small subunit ribosomal RNA
Source: RNAcentral